GGUAAAGGAGUUGURUUUGUCAAUGGGCAGAACCUUGGCCGUUACUGGAUCAUUGGCCCACAGCAUUUCCUUUAUCUCCCAGGCCCUUGGCUCAGAUGUGGAGAGAAUCAGAUUAUUGUUUUUGAGGAGCAAAAAGUGGAUGAAAAAAUACUGUUUGGGGAAAAUCCCGAUCAUGGAAAAACCAUUGAUGUGUACAAACUUCCCUUCUGCACACUGCUGUAAAAAAGAAAAAGGAAAAUGACAAAAAAAGCUGUUUUUGUAAUAACAUUUGCAACAAAUUACUGCAAUGCAUUAGUGUAGUUAUUAAAAUGUAAUUAAUAAAUGWAGGCAUCGGUUUUUCAUAAGCUUAUUAGUAAACUAAACGUGUUUGUUAAUUUUUCACAAAUUUGAAAAUCGUAAAAGCCUAAGCAAUCUUCUGUUAUCAUUUCAGUAUGAACUUUGCUCUGGUUAGAUAUGAUCUGAUUUGACAGUGAGAAACUUUAACAAGCGUAUCAUUGGACUAAA
This is a long non-coding RNA of Austrofundulus limnaeus, 504 nucleotides long. RefSeq lists it as uncharacterized. The record is from RefSeq and is a predicted model, not a curated record. NCBI's taxonomy places the organism in Eukaryota, Metazoa, Chordata, Actinopteri, Cyprinodontiformes, Rivulidae. The transcript has 2 exons.